UUAAAUUGAAGAGUUUGAUCAUGGCUCAGAUUGAACGCUGGCGGCAGGCCUAACACAUGCAAGUCGAACGGUAGCACAUGCA
Molecule: ribosomal RNA, 82 nt
Filed under: Leclercia sp. LSNIH8
Lineage: Bacteria; Pseudomonadati; Pseudomonadota; Gammaproteobacteria; Enterobacterales; Enterobacteriaceae
Description: partial 16S ribosomal RNA
Rfam family: Bacterial small subunit ribosomal RNA
Source: RNAcentral